Molecule: ribosomal RNA, 192 nt
Filed under: uncultured bacterium
Lineage: Bacteria
Description: partial 16S ribosomal RNA
Rfam family: Bacterial small subunit ribosomal RNA
Source: RNAcentral
UUCGCCUUCACGAAGUCGGAAUUGCUAGUAAUGGCAGGUCAGCAUACUGCCGUGAAUACGUUCCCGGGCCUUGUACACACCGCCCGUCCACACCAUGAGAGUUGGGGAUACCCGAAGCCUGUGAGCUAACUUUAUAAGGAGCAGCAGUCGAAGGUAGAAUCAAUGAUUGGGGUGAAGUCGUAACAAGGUACC